Molecule: transfer RNA, 70 nt
Filed under: Versteria mustelae
Lineage: Eukaryota; Metazoa; Platyhelminthes; Cestoda; Cyclophyllidea; Taeniidae
Description: tRNA-Asn
Source: RNAcentral
GUCUAUGUAGAUUAUAUAUUAAAUCGUGAUGCUGUUAACUUCAGGAAAUGGUAUAAUUCCAUUAUAGUCG